This 495-nucleotide ribosomal RNA is filed under the name uncultured bacterium. RNAcentral describes it as "partial 16S ribosomal RNA". It matches the Rfam family "Bacterial small subunit ribosomal RNA", at positions 28 to 505 of the family's 1533-position model. The record is from RNAcentral.
GAUGAACGCUGGCGGCGUGCCUAAUACAUGCAAGUCGAGCGAACGGACGAGAAGCUUGCUUUUCUGAUGUUAGCGGCGGACGGGUGAGUAACACGUGGAUAACCUACCUAUAAGACUGGGAUAACUUCGGGAAACCGGAGCUAAUACCGGAUAAUAUUUUGAACCGCAUGGUUCAUAAGUGAAAGACGGUCUUGCUGUCACUUAUAGAUGGAUCCGCGCUGCAUUAGCUAGUUGGUAAGGUAACGGCUUACCAAGGCAACGAUGCAUAGCCGACCUGAGAGGGUGAUCGGCCACACUGGAACUGAGACACGGUCCAGACUCCUACGGGAGGCAGCAGUAGGGAAUCUUCCGCAAUGGGCGAAAGCCUGACGGAGCAACGCCGCGUGAGUGAUGAAGGUCUUCGGAUCGUAAAACUCUGUUAUUAGGGAAGAACAUAUGUGUAAGUAACUGUGCACAUCUUGACGGUACCUAAUCAGAAAGCCACGGCUAACUACG